CAUUACGGCCAUGCCACCCUGAAUAUGCCCAAUCUCGUCUGAUCUCAGAAGCUAAGCAGGGUCAGGCCUGGUUAGUACUUGGAUGGGAGACCACCUAGGAAAACCAGGUGCUAUAGGCG
Molecule: ribosomal RNA, 119 nt
Filed under: Pteropus alecto (black flying fox)
Lineage: Eukaryota; Metazoa; Chordata; Mammalia; Chiroptera; Pteropodidae
Source: RNAcentral